UUUUAUUCCAAAUUAGUGAAUUCUACUUUGAUAAAUGUUGAAGAGCAAAGCGCCACUAGGAACGGCGAUCUACAAGUAAAUGACCCUGCAAUAAAUGAGGGUUCUCAAGGCGUUAAUGAGGGCUGCGAACUGCAAGAUGCAGCAUUACUAGUUACACAGCCAGGGUUUGUAACACAGAAUACCUCUACAAAAUCUUCAAGACUUAGUCUUAGUCGGAAACGAAAGCAGUCCCGUUCUAUUACCCGUGAUAAAAGGGCAUGCCCUGACAAUGCACUAGUCUCUGAUGUGCAACCUCGGGAUACCACCACAGAUUUCAUUAAAACAGUUGAUUUCUAUACAGAAAACCUGUUAGGAGCUGGAGAUGUCACAAAUUCAUGGUCUGCAGCGUUGGCAAGUGUCUCAGAAGCUAACGGUGAUGCGAUAGUGCCGGUAGCUACUACCGUACUGACAUCUUCUUUGGACUCGCAGACAUCUGCGGCGGUUAAUCUGCCACG
Long non-coding RNA from Paramisgurnus dabryanus, 494 nucleotides. RefSeq lists it as uncharacterized. Lineage: Eukaryota; Metazoa; Chordata; Actinopteri; Cypriniformes; Cobitidae. The record is from RefSeq and is a predicted model, not a curated record.